Molecule: non-coding RNA, 73 nt
Organism: Gardnerella vaginalis ATCC 14019
Lineage: Bacteria; Bacillati; Actinomycetota; Actinomycetes; Bifidobacteriales; Bifidobacteriaceae
Source: Rfam
UCCUGCGUAGCUCAGUUGGCAGAGCGUUCGACUGUUAAUCGAAUGGUCGCUGGUUCAAGCCCAGCCGCAGGAG